GACGAACGCUGGCGGCGUGCUUAACACAUGCAAGUCGAACGAGAAGAGAUGAGAAGCUUGCUUCUUAUUGAUUCGAGUGGCAAACGGGUGAGUAACGCGUAAGCAACCUGCCCUUCAGAUGGGGACAACAGCUGGAAACGGCUGCUAAUACCGAAUACGUUCUUUUGUCGCAUGGCAGAGGGAAGAAAGGGAGGCUCUUCGGAGCUUUCGCUGAAGGAGGGGCUUGCGUCUGAUUAGCUAGUUGGAGGGGUAACGGCCCACCAAGGCGACGAUCAGUAGCCGACCUGAGAGGGUGACCGGCCACAUUGGGACUGAGACACGGCCCAA
Molecule: ribosomal RNA, 327 nt
Filed under: uncultured bacterium
Lineage: Bacteria
Description: bacterial SSU rRNA
Rfam family: Bacterial small subunit ribosomal RNA
Source: RNAcentral